GAUGAACGCUAGCUACAGGCUUAACACAUGCAAGUCGAGGGGUAACGAGAGGAAAGCUUGCUUUCCUUGUCGACGACCGGCGCACGGGUGAGUAACGCGUAUCCAACCUGCCCCCAACUAGGGAAUAACCUUGCGAAAGUAAGACUAAUACCCUAUAAUUUCCUCAGAUGUCAUCUGACGAGGAAUAAAGAUUUAUCGGUUGUGGAUGGGGAUGCGUCUGAUUAGCUUGUUGGCGGGGUAACGGCCCACCAAGGCAACGAUCCGUAGGGGUUCUGAGAGGAAGGUCCCCCACAUUGGAACUGAGACACGGUCCAAACUCCUACGGGAGGCAGCAGUGAGGAAUAUUGGUCAAUGGGCGGAAGCCUGAACCAGCCAAGUAGCGUGCAGGAUGACGGCCCUAUGGGUUGUAAACUGCUUUUAUACAGGAAUAAAGUUAGCCACGUGUGGUUAUUUGUAGGUACUGUAUGAAUAAGGACCGGCUAAUUCCGAGCCAGCAGCCGCCGUAA
RNAcentral lists this ribosomal RNA (506 nucleotides) under uncultured bacterium. RNAcentral's name for it is "partial 16S ribosomal RNA". It matches the Rfam family "Bacterial small subunit ribosomal RNA", at positions 28 to 523 of the family's 1533-position model. The record is from RNAcentral.